UACGGAGGGAGCGAGCGUUGUCCGAAGUUACUGGGCGUAAAGAGCUCGUAGGUGGUUUGUCGCGUUGUUCGUGAAAACUCACAGCUCAACUGUGGGCGUGCGGGCGAUACGGGCAGACUUGAGUACUGCAGGGGAGACUGGAAUUCCUGGUGUAGCGGUGGAAUGCGCAGAUAUCAGGAGGAACACCGGUGGCGAAGGCGGGUCUCUGGGCAGUAACUGACGCUGAGGAGCGAAAGCGUGGGGAGCGAACAGG
This 253-nucleotide ribosomal RNA is filed under the name uncultured bacterium. RNAcentral describes it as "partial 16S ribosomal RNA". It matches the Rfam family "Bacterial small subunit ribosomal RNA", at positions 524 to 776 of the family's 1533-position model. The record is from RNAcentral.